CUGGCGGCGUGCCUAAUACAUGCAAGUAGAACGCACAGUUUAUACCGUAGCUUGCUACACCAUAGACUGUGAGUUGCGAACGGGUGAGUAACGCGUAGGUAACCUGCCUGGUAGCGGGGGAUAACUAUUGGAAACGAUAGCUAAUACCGCAUAAUAUUAAUUAUUGCAUGAUAAUUGAUUAAAAGGUGCAAUUGCACCACUACCAGAUGGACCUGCGUUGUAUUAGCUAGUAGGUGAGGUAACGGCUCACCUAGGCGACGAUACAUAGCCGACCUGAGAGGGUGAUCGGCCACACUGGGACUGAGACACGGCCCAGACUCCUACGGGAGGCAGCAGUAGGGAAUCUUCGGCAAUGGACGAAAGUCUGACCGAGCAACGCCGCGUGAGUGAAGAAGGUUUUCGGAUCGUAAAGCUCUGUUGUAAGAGAAGAACGGGUGUGAGAGUGGAAAGUUCACACUGUGACGGUAUCUUACCAGAAAGGGACGGCUAACUACGUGCCAGCAGCCGCGGU
RNAcentral lists this ribosomal RNA (511 nucleotides) under Streptococcus sp. oral clone BP2-14. It matches the Rfam family "Bacterial small subunit ribosomal RNA", at positions 36 to 521 of the family's 1533-position model. The record is from RNAcentral. Lineage: Bacteria; Bacillati; Bacillota; Bacilli; Lactobacillales; Streptococcaceae.